AUUGAACGCUGGCGGCAUGCCUUACACAUGCAAGUCGAACGGCAGCACGGGUGCUUGCACCUGGUGGCGAGUGGCGAACGGGUGAGUAAUAUAUCGGAACGUACCUUAUUGUGGGGGAUAACGCAGCGAAAGCUGUGCUAAUACCGCAUAAUCCCUAAGGGGGAAAGCGGGGGACCGUAAGGCCUCGCGCAAUUAGAGCGGCCGAUACCUGAUUAGCUAGUUGGUGAGGUAAAGGCUCACCAAGGCAACGAUCAGUAGCUGGUCUGAGAGGACGAUCAGCCACACGGGGACUGAGGCACGGCCCAGACUCCUACGGGAGGCAGCAGUGGGGAAUUUUGGACAAUGGGGGCAACCCUGAUCCAGCAAUGCCGCGUGAGUGAAGAAGGCCUUCGGGUUGUAAAGCUCUUUUGUCAGGGAAGAAACAGCAGCUCUAACACAGUUUGCGAAUGACGGUACCUGAAGAAUAAGCACCGGCUAACUACGUGCCAGCAGCCGCGGUAA
Molecule: ribosomal RNA, 501 nt
Filed under: uncultured bacterium
Lineage: Bacteria
Description: partial 16S ribosomal RNA
Rfam family: Bacterial small subunit ribosomal RNA
Source: RNAcentral